Bos taurus (domestic cattle) is the source of this 88-nucleotide microRNA precursor. The record is from Ensembl. NCBI's taxonomy places the organism in Eukaryota, Metazoa, Chordata, Mammalia, Artiodactyla, Bovidae.
GGUUUCUGGCAAAAAAGUUUGUUUGGGUUUUCCAUGUUAACCAAAAACCCAAAUGAACUUUUCAGCCAACUCAAUAAUUUGGGGACUU